UACGUAGGGGGCAAGCGUUGUCCGGAAUGAUUGGGCGUAAAGGGCGCGUAGGCGGCCUGUUAAGUCUGGAGUGAAAGUCCUGCUUUCAAGGUGGGAAUUGCUUUGGAAACUGGCGGGCUGGAGUGCAGGAGAGGUUAGCGGAAUUCCCGGUGUAGCGGUGAAAUGCGUAGAGAUCGGGAGGAACACCAGUGGCGAAGGCGGCUAACUGGACUGUAACUGACGCUGAAGCGCGAAAGUGUGGGGAGCAAAC
Molecule: ribosomal RNA, 250 nt
Filed under: uncultured bacterium
Lineage: Bacteria
Description: partial 16S ribosomal RNA
Rfam family: Bacterial small subunit ribosomal RNA
Source: RNAcentral